UACGGAGGGGACUAGCGUUGUUCGGAAUUACUGGGCGUAAAGCGCGCGUAGGCGGAUUUGCAAGUCGGGGGUGAAAUCCCGAGGCUCAACCUCGGAACUGCCUUCGAUACUGCAAAUCUCGAGUCCGGAAGAGGUGAGUGGAAUUCCUAGUGUAGAGGUGAAAUUCGUAGAUAUUAGGAAGAACACCAGUGGCGAAGGCGGCUCACUGGUCCGGUACUGACGCUGAGGCGCGAAAGCGUGGGGAGCAAAC
Molecule: ribosomal RNA, 250 nt
Filed under: uncultured bacterium
Lineage: Bacteria
Description: partial 16S ribosomal RNA
Rfam family: Bacterial small subunit ribosomal RNA
Source: RNAcentral